RNAcentral lists this ribosomal RNA (399 nucleotides) under Phrynocephalus axillaris (toad-headed agama). RNAcentral describes it as "16S rRNA". It matches the Rfam family "Bacterial large subunit ribosomal RNA", at positions 1970 to 2594 of the family's 2925-position model. The record is from RNAcentral. Lineage: Eukaryota; Metazoa; Chordata; Lepidosauria; Squamata; Agamidae.
UGUCUUCUAAAUAAAGACCUGUAUGAAUGGCCACAUGAGAAAGAAACUGUCUCUUGAAGACAGUCGGUGAAACUGAUCUACCUGUACAAAAGCAGGUAUGCCAAAACAAGACAAAAAGACCCUGUGAAACUUUAAAUUCCCAUCAAAUAUAUGAUGUUAAUUUUAAGUUGGGGCAACUUAAGAGAAACAAAACCUCUACAUCACCACCAGAUCGACAAAUCUACUGGACAAACCAUAUGACCCAGUACUACUGAUCCAUGGACCAAGCUACUCCAGGGAUAACAGCGCUACAUUCUUGAAGAGUUCUUAUCAACAAGAAUACCUACGACCUCGAUGUUGGAUCAGGAUACCCAAGUGGUGUAGAAGCUACUAACGGUUCGUUUGUUCAACGAUUAAAAU